UCACAGAGUAGUAAAUUCAUCUUUAUUUGUCUUUCCAUCACUCCUCUCCUCUGGAGUUUAUUAAACACAGCUCUACACAAAUGGAUAAAGAAAAUGAAUAUUAGUUGAUCUCUCCUAGAGAGAGAGAGAGAGAUUGUGUGCGAAUGUUAGUUGGUUUGAUGAUGUUCAGACAUGUUGGUUUGAGUCUACGUCAAGGAAGUGAGGUCUGUCAUCCGACCAAAGACUGAGUCAGUUACCCUUUAGUCAGUGGUUUUCAUUCUCACACCAGCCCCGUCUCGACCCAAACCAACUGUCUGUAUGUCUGUUUUACCAUGGACAACUUUCUGUGUGAUCAACUAAAAACCUCUUCAGUCACAUCACACCAUAAAACUGACACACACCCCUUUUGAAACACCUUCUUAAGUCAUCUAGACACCACCUGUUCUUAGCCCGUCUCAUCUGCUGUCCUUAGCCUUUCUCACUUCAUGCCACACACCUCAGAACUCAGAGUUUCACAGAAGCUUCAUAGCUAACGUGGCACUUUGUAUAUCUUGACAACUCAACCAUGAUAGCACCAAUUGCAAAAUCAAUGUUUGAUGUUCUACAUGGGGUUUGAGUCUGGGUUGUUGAGAGAAAUGAAGUACCACGUUAGCCAUAAAGCUUUCAGAAAACUCACCUUAGGUUUAUGGAAACAUGGCUAUCUCCCUCAACCCAUUACAUCUUUGUAUACCCCUGCCUCAUCGCUAACUCAAACCAUUACCAACAGCAAACAGCCCCUGGGAUUACAGCUAGCUAGCUAGCGACGUAGCCUUGGUGCUGACUACAGUACACAUACUGCCUCUCUUUCUUCAUUCUGUGCUUUGCUCUUGGAUUUACCUUCCUCCCUCUCUCAUUGUCUGUUGGGUUAAAACGCCCAUAUGGAGGAGAUGGACACAGAGCUAACGUCUUUAUUCUAGGUGGUGGUGUAACAUGAACGAUGUGCUAGGAAGUGUCUGAGUCGAGAUGGUUGAAAACAGUCUACUCUAGAUGGUUUAAACAGUCUACUCUAGAUGGUUGAAAACAGUCUACUCUAGAUGGUUUAAACAGUCUACUCUAGAUGGUUGAAAACAGUCUACUCUAGAUGGUUGAAAACAGUCUACUCUAGAUGGUUGAAAACAUCUACUCUAGAUGGUUGAAAACAGUCUACUCUAGAUGGUUUAAACAGUCUACUCUAGAUGGUUGAAAACAGUCUACUCUAGAUGGUUUAAACAGUCUACUCUAGAUGGUUUAAACAGUGGUAUAACACCCCUUAUAGGAUCGAUUGUUUUCUUAAAUAAAAAGCGUUACAAGUGCAUCAACAUACAAAAUAUUAUCGUGGUGUAAAAACAAACAUAACAUUUAAAACUCCAUUGAAAUAAAUUAAUAUAAUUGUUUAUAUAUAUAUAUACGCAUAUAUAUAUACACAUAUAUACGUAUAUAUAUAUA
Molecule: long non-coding RNA, 1443 nt
Organism: Oncorhynchus tshawytscha (Chinook salmon)
Lineage: Eukaryota; Metazoa; Chordata; Actinopteri; Salmoniformes; Salmonidae
Source: Ensembl